UAUUUUAAAAAAUGUGACGAAUAUGGCCUUAGAGAAAGAAAGGUUCCUAAACCUUGCCCGACUAGGUGGAAUUACAUAUACGAAAGUUUAGUAGUAGCAUACGAAUAUAGAAACCCAAUUAAUGCUACGUUUAAUUCUCGGGUAGGUGGUGAGGAUGAUAAUGAAAUGCUAACUACCCAAGAUUAGACUAAUGUUAAAAUUCUUUUAGAUUUUUUAGAACAUUUUCAAGUGGCUACAAGUGCUUUUUCUGGACAAUAUUAUCCGACUAUUUCUAACAUGUUUAGUUUAUAUUGCCACACUAGCUGAUUUGUUUAUUUAUUUUAGCGAGGGUGGGGAUAUUUAUGAACUUGCAAUAAAUGAAAUGAAACAAAAGUUUAAAAAAUAUUUUUUCCCAAUCCCUCCUAUUUUUGGUGUAGCU
RNAcentral lists this long non-coding RNA (418 nucleotides) under Nicotiana benthamiana. RNAcentral describes it as "long non-coding RNA (NBEN_LNC017803)". Lineage: Eukaryota; Viridiplantae; Streptophyta; Magnoliopsida; Solanales; Solanaceae. The record is from RNAcentral.